UUUGGCCAGACACGUUGGACAUUUGAAAUGUUCUGAUUGGUUGGAUUUGAAUUGGAUUUUGUGUGUUGCUUGCAACGCGUUCCAUUGUGUUCUUUAACCUAAGGAGUGUUGGAUAUGCCACGUCAAUCAAUGAGGCGUGAUCCAACGCUCCGUGUUUUUUCUGAUUUUAAUUAGUUUUCUUUUAAAUUUCUUUUUCUUUUAAAAGUCAUAGUAAUUUCAUUUUUUAUCCAUAAAAU
RNAcentral lists this long non-coding RNA (236 nucleotides) under Lathyrus oleraceus (garden pea). Its description in RNAcentral is "Pisum sativum (pea) long non-coding RNA (PSAT_LNC008755)". Lineage: Eukaryota; Viridiplantae; Streptophyta; Magnoliopsida; Fabales; Fabaceae. The record is from RNAcentral.